Molecule: microRNA, 21 nt
Filed under: Gallus gallus (chicken)
Lineage: Eukaryota; Metazoa; Chordata; Aves; Galliformes; Phasianidae
Description: gga-miR-12272-5p
Source: miRBase by way of RNAcentral
UUCCGCGAACCGCCUUCGGUC